GAUCCUGGCUCAGGAUGAACGCUGGCGGCGUGCUUAACACAUGCGAGUCGAGCGAAGCACUUUGCUUGGAUUUCUUCGGAAUGACGAGUAUUGUGACUGAGCGGCGGACGGGUGAGUAACGCGUGGGUAACCUGCCUCAUACAGGGGGAUAACAGUUAGAAAUGACUGCUAAUACCGCAUAAGACCACAGCACCGCAUGGUGCAGGGGUAAAAACUCCGGUGGUAUGAGAUGGACCCG
This 238-nucleotide ribosomal RNA is filed under the name uncultured bacterium. Its description in RNAcentral is "partial 16S ribosomal RNA". It matches the Rfam family "Bacterial small subunit ribosomal RNA", at positions 15 to 233 of the family's 1533-position model. The record is from RNAcentral.